RNAcentral lists this unclassified non-coding RNA (467 nucleotides) under Hevea brasiliensis (rubber tree). Lineage: Eukaryota; Viridiplantae; Streptophyta; Magnoliopsida; Malpighiales; Euphorbiaceae. The record is from RNAcentral.
CAGAGUCUCUUUGUUCAUUCCAUCGACGUCACAGUACCAAGUAGCCAAUGGUUCUGCUACUCCCGUCAAAGCCUCUAUGCCGCUACCGUUCCUCUCCCGAUGCACCAAGUGCUGUUCAUUAUGAUCUAAAACGGCCCAUUUAUACCCAACUCGCAUCUGCAAUUACUUCCUCUAGUUUUCCUACUGACUGCCGAUUUAGUCUCUGAUGUUAUCUGAUCAUUCCCAAAAUUCUUCUUCUUCCAUUGGCCCCCAGAACACUACUCGCCACCGUUCUCCUUUUAAACAGCGCAAACUCGAGCAAGAAUCUAACAAAUACAACAAAGUCCUCACUCUUGGCCCAGAUGCUUAUAGAGACCACAAAACGGUCAAUCUUGGCUUUAAUAUAGCAGUGGAGCUUUUUUUUUUCUUUCGUUGGGUAGAAACUUAUUUUAGCUUUGCACAUGCUGAAAUGACGUGUAGAGAGAUGG